Molecule: transfer RNA, 87 nt
Filed under: Parcubacteria group bacterium
Lineage: Bacteria
Description: tRNA-Leu
Rfam family: tRNA
About the family: Transfer RNA (tRNA) molecules are approximately 80 nucleotides in length.
Source: RNAcentral
GCCGGAGUGAUGUAACUGGUAAACAUGCACGACUCAAAAUCGUGUGACCGCAAGGUCGUGAGGGUUCGACUCCCUCCUCCGGCACCA